AUUGAACGCUGGCGGAAUGCUUUACACAUGCAAGUCGAACGAUGAACCUUAGCUUGCUAAGGGGAUUAGUGGCGAACGGGUGAGUAAUAUAUCGGAACGUGCCUUGUAAUGGGGGAUAACUAGUCGAAAGAUUGGCUAAUACCGCAUACGCCCUGAGGGGGAAAGUAGGGGAUCUUCGGACCUUACGUUAUAAGAGCGGCCGAUAUCUGAUUAGCUAGUUGGUGGGGUAAUGGCCUACCAAGGCGACGAUCAGUAGCUGGUCUGAGAGGACGACCAGCCACACUGGAACUGAGACACGGUCCAGACUCCUACGGGAGGCAGCAGUGGGGAAUUUUGGACAAUGGGCGAAAGCCUGAUCCAGCCAUUCCGCGUGAGUGAAGAAGGCCUUCGGGUUGUAAAGCUCUUUCGCAAGGGAAGAAAACUUACAUUCUAAUAAAGUGUGAGGCUGACGGUACCUUGAUAAGAAGCACCGGCUAACUACGUGCCAGCAGCCGCGGUAAUACGUAGGGUGCGAGCGUUAAUCGGAAUUACUGGGCGUAAAGCGUGCGCAGGCGGUUUGGCAAGUCAGAUGUGAAAUCCCCGAGCUCAACUUGGGAACUGCGUUUGAAACUGCCAGACUAGAAUAUGUCAGAGGGGGGUAGAAUUCCACGUGUAGCAGUGAAAUGCGUAGAGAUGUGGAGGAAUACCAAUGGCGAAGGCAGCCCCCUGGGAUAAUAUUGACGCUCAUGCACGAAAGCGUGGGGAGCAAACAGG
RNAcentral lists this ribosomal RNA (753 nucleotides) under uncultured Methylophilaceae bacterium. Its description in RNAcentral is "bacterial SSU rRNA". It matches the Rfam family "Bacterial small subunit ribosomal RNA", at positions 28 to 776 of the family's 1533-position model. Lineage: Bacteria; Pseudomonadati; Pseudomonadota; Betaproteobacteria; Nitrosomonadales; Methylophilaceae. The record is from RNAcentral.